This 423-nucleotide long non-coding RNA is filed under the name Amborella trichopoda. RNAcentral describes it as "long non-coding RNA (ATRI_LNC005466)". The record is from RNAcentral. Lineage: Eukaryota; Viridiplantae; Streptophyta; Magnoliopsida; Amborellales; Amborellaceae.
AAAAAUCCAUCGGAAAAGGUUGUUUUAAUGUUGAAAAAUCUUUUAAUUGAUCAUCUCAUUAUCAAGACAUGUAAAUAUGGAAGAAAAAAUAAAGAUUUUGAGUCCCAGAAAUAAUGCUUCUUGCAACGCAUUAUCUAGACCGUUCAUUUUAUUACGAAGAAAAUAGAUUUUCAAAUAAUCCUAAGAAUUUUUUACAUCAAAUUUACAUGUUAUGAUAAAAUUUGGAGGUGUUCCUUAAUUGGAUUGUUGAAGGUUACACCUUAUACAAACCACACCCCUUUUUUAAAAUCUUGUUUAAUUUUAAUUUAAACAUAUUUUUAAUUUUAUUGUAAUUUUUUUUAAAACGCUUCUUUUGCCUAAUCGAUACCUGUUCAACUCGGGCCAAACUUAGAAUGAGUAGAGGAACUCUUAGGUAGCUUUGGA